GGGCGGGUAGCUCAGUGGUAGAGCAACGGCCUUACAAGCCGUGGGUCACAGGUUCGAACCCUGUUCCGCCCA
This 72-nucleotide transfer RNA is filed under the name Deltaproteobacteria bacterium. RNAcentral's name for it is "tRNA-Val". It matches the Rfam family "tRNA". Rfam says of the family: Transfer RNA (tRNA) molecules are approximately 80 nucleotides in length. The record is from RNAcentral. Lineage: Bacteria; Pseudomonadati; Myxococcota; Myxococcia.